UGCAGUCGAGGGGUAGGCUCAUUUCGGUGAGUACACGACCGGCGCACGGGUGCGUAACGCGUAUGCAACCUACCUUUAACAGAGGGAUAGCCCGAAGAAAUUCGGAUUAAUACCUCAUAACACUGCAAAAUGGCAUCAUUUAGCAGUUAAAACUCCGGUGGUUAAAGAUGGGCAUGCGUGACAUUAGAUAGUUGGUGAGGUAACGGCUCACCAAGUCUACGAUGUCUAGGGGUUCUGAGAGGAUGAUCCCCCACACUGGUACUGAGACACGGACCAGACUCCUACGGGAGGCAGCAGUAAGGAAUAUUGGUCAAUGGGCGCAAGCCUGAACCAGCCAUGCCGCGUGCAGGAAGACGGCCUUAUGGGUUGUAAACUGCUUUUAUAAAGGGAUAAACCCCCCAACGUGUUGGGGGCUGAAGGUACUUUAUGAAUAAGCACCGGCUAACUCCGUGCCAGCAGCCGCGGUAAU
Molecule: ribosomal RNA, 469 nt
Filed under: uncultured bacterium
Lineage: Bacteria
Description: bacterial SSU rRNA
Rfam family: Bacterial small subunit ribosomal RNA
Source: RNAcentral